This 336-nucleotide unclassified non-coding RNA is filed under the name soil metagenome. RNAcentral describes it as "partial contains 5.8S ribosomal RNA, internal transcribed spacer 2, and large subunit ribosomal RNA". The stretch from base 1 to 120 matches the Rfam family "5.8S ribosomal RNA", at positions 35 to 154 of the family's 154-position model. The record is from RNAcentral.
GAUGAAGAACGUAGCGAAAUGCGAUAAGUAAUGUGAAUUGCAGAAUUCAGUGAAUCAUCGAAUCUUUGAACGCACAUUGCGCCCGCCAAUAUUCUGGCGGGCAUGCCUGUUCGAGCGUCAUUUCAACCAUCAAGCCCCCGGCUUGUGUUGGGGACCUGCGGCUGCCGCAGGCCCUGAAAAGCAGUGGCGGGCUCGCUGUCACACCGAGCGUAGUAGCAUACAUCUCGCUCUGGGCGUGCUGCGGGUUCCGGCCGUUAAACCACCUUCAUAACCCAAGGUUGACCUCGGAUCAGGUAGGAAGACCCGCUGAACUUAAGCAUAUCAAUAAGCGGAGGA